RNAcentral lists this ribosomal RNA (497 nucleotides) under Lysobacter sp. CL4.36. RNAcentral describes it as "bacterial SSU rRNA". It matches the Rfam family "Bacterial small subunit ribosomal RNA", at positions 17 to 502 of the family's 1533-position model. Lineage: Bacteria; Pseudomonadati; Pseudomonadota; Gammaproteobacteria; Lysobacterales; Lysobacteraceae. The record is from RNAcentral.
CCCUGGCUCAGAGUGAACGCUGGCGGCAGGCCUAACACAUGCAAGUCGAACGGCAGCACAGCAGUAGCAAUACUGUGGGUGGCGAGUGGCGGACGGGUGAGGAAUGCAUCGGAAUCUGCCUAUUUGUGGGGGAUAACGUAGGGAAACUUACGCUAAUACCGCAUACGUCCUACGGGAGAAAGUGGGGGACCUUCGGGCCUCACGCAGAUAGAUGAGCCGAUGCCGGAUUAGCUAGUUGGCGGGGUAAAGGCCCACCAAGGCGACGAUCCGUAGCUGGUCUGAGAGGAUGAUCAGCCACACUGGAACUGAGACACGGUCCAGACUCCUACGGGAGGCAGCAGUGGGGAAUAUUGGACAAUGGGCGCAAGCCUGAUCCAGCCAUGCCGCGUGUGUGAAGAAGGCCUUCGGGUUGUAAAGCACUUUUGUCCGGAAAGAAAAGCUUCGGGUUAAUAACCCCGGAGUUAUGACGGUACCGGAAGAAUAAGCACCGGCUAACU